AAUAUCGAACCUGGCCCCCUGGCCACGUCUACCUUGCAAACCCGUGGAAGCGAACCGUGCUUCGGCGCCUCGGCGUCGAGUUUAUGCUGCAGCUGGUAGUUUGCGUCUGAAUCAAACCAAAGAACAUAAAACUUUCAACAGAGGAUCUCUUGGCUCUUGUAUCGACGAAGAACGCAGCAAAGCGCGAAAUGUAGUGAACAUAGCAGCACAAUUGUGAAUCAUCGAAUCUUUGAACGCACAUUGCGCCUCCGGUAGCUCGGAGGCAUGCCUGUCUGAGCGUCAUUUAAAACCAUGGACCCAGGAUUGGGUCCGUAUUGGGCGUCGCCCCCCUCUCCAGAGUGGCGCGUGGCCUCAAAGACAUUGGUCUCACAUGCGGACGAGCUCCCCUGGGACAGACCGCGUGGGGACCCUUAGCAUCUGACUUUGAUCUCAGAUCAGGUAGGACUACCGCCUG
RNAcentral lists this ribosomal RNA (454 nucleotides) under uncultured fungus. Its description in RNAcentral is "eukaryotic LSU rRNA". The stretch from base 130 to 282 matches the Rfam family "5.8S ribosomal RNA". The record is from RNAcentral. Lineage: Eukaryota; Fungi.